GAGUGAUAUCUCCUUUCUGGAUCUUGAGGAAACUCGUCGGGGACAGAUUGAAUUGAGCCACACCAUCGCCUGACAUAUUGGAAUAAGCUCUAGUUACUUGCCGGAAGGAAAAUGUUUGUUUCACAACUGCUCGAGAAUCAAGAAAGGUGCUGAAGAUGAAUCUAGGGUUUAAGGAUCGAGAGAAUGAAGAAGAAUUGAGGAUUUGAGUGAUGCUGAAAUUAGGGGCAUUUGUAUGUACUGGGCAAAAUGAUUGGGUUAGUAGUCACUAGUCUAGUGCGUGUGUUGUUGCUUUAUUU
This 296-nucleotide long non-coding RNA is filed under the name Helianthus annuus (common sunflower). RNAcentral's name for it is "hypothetical non coding rna". Lineage: Eukaryota; Viridiplantae; Streptophyta; Magnoliopsida; Asterales; Asteraceae. The record is from RNAcentral.